CAUCACCCGUCUUCCUUAUUUAGAAUCUCCCAAACACGGCUACGUUUAAUCCCUCUGAUAUUUGUUUCUGUAUAUCUGUGGAUAAAUGAUCAAGUUCAUGUUAAAAGCAAUUCAGAGUUGUCAGGUAAAACUAGUUUGGAUGAGUUCCAUCUCUAAUCUCACUCUUUUCCGUGUUUUCCUUUAUUCAAACAACUACACUCAUAUUGUCUAUGGUCCCCCUCUCUUUCUCAUUUGUGGAAUUUCAUUCAUAGUGGUGUUUCAUUGCACCUUUAAAUAUCUCUUUUCAAUAAUUACCUUAUAGUAUCAAUGUCCAGUCUAUUGUGAGCUUUAAUUAAGUCAUCCAGAUCACCUCCCCGCAGAUACUGCAUUGCAAAGAAAAUGUGAUCCUGUUUGCAAAUAGAGAAAUGAAAUGGAUCAAACAGGAGUCCAUGUAGCAUCACACAUACUUUAUCUUUAUUGUAAUAGAAUGGUUGAUGGAUGUAAUUUUAUUACUUCAGUCUGGAACGUGGCGUAAGCAUCCGUGAGGAAGCGGCAUCCACUGGCCACCUCAAGCACCCGACGUUCCACUAAAAUGCUUUCCUUAUCAUCCAAAUCUUGUAGCAGUUGGCUCUUUUUCACAAUCUUUACUGCCAGAUUCUCUUUAGUUAUAAUAUCGGACGCUAGCAUCACCUGGAGAAGACACAGCGUUAAGGCAUAGAGAUAGGGUACUGGAAGAUCACCAUUAGAAAAGUACCAUUUCUAUUCGAUUUCAUUGAGAAAAGUGAC
This is a non-coding RNA of Pelobates cultripes (western spadefoot toad), 765 nucleotides long. Lineage: Eukaryota; Metazoa; Chordata; Amphibia; Anura; Pelobatidae. The record is from the annotation of a GenBank genome assembly.